UCCCUGUGUAAUCUGGGCAGCUUCCCGGAGGAUAAUGUCUUUCCACCGUGCAUCGCCCCUCCCUCCCAGGCUGUUUUCACAGGAAGCAAAUCCUGGAGCAUUUUCAAUGCGCCCCUCGAGGCGGAACAAUGAGGCCCUUGAACGCUCAGAACCGCACUUCCUCCAGUUAUCCGGACCUGCGCCCAGCGCCUCCUGCAGAAGGAGGGGACCCAGGGGCAAGCCGGAGGGAACCCGGGGGCAGCCAGAGAGGGGCCGGCCUGCGGGUGCUGCCCAGCUGCAUGAGGGAAGCCCACUAGCCCAAUAAUAGGUUUGGAUCUGACUGUUUUGCCAAGAAAGAAGAGCCAGUCUGUGGAGGCGAAUGAGUCAUGAAUAAACAAACAGCGUGGGGGGAGCUGUCACUCUGAGCUGACUUCCUGGCUGCCAGCGGUGGCGCUGUCACCUCCUGGCUGGGCCCAGGAGCCAGGCCGGCUGUGGCGGCACCAGGAGCCCUGCGAUCGCUGUGUGCCCCCACAGAGGGUGGGGGCACAGGACCCUGAUCCCCAUGCCUGUCUUUGACUUUCGCGCUCAUAAAAGCAUUCCGGUCUUUA
This is a long non-coding RNA of Chinchilla lanigera (long-tailed chinchilla), 587 nucleotides long. RefSeq lists it as uncharacterized. Lineage: Eukaryota; Metazoa; Chordata; Mammalia; Rodentia; Chinchillidae. The transcript is spliced from 2 exons. The record is from RefSeq and is a predicted model, not a curated record.